This is a long non-coding RNA of Dermacentor andersoni, 612 nucleotides long. RefSeq lists it as uncharacterized. The record is from RefSeq and is a predicted model, not a curated record. NCBI's taxonomy places the organism in Eukaryota, Metazoa, Arthropoda, Arachnida, Ixodida, Ixodidae.
CCACUGAGAAAGGCGAGCGUGAAUCAAGUAAAUCGGCCAGCUGCGAGCCCCAACCGAACGGUGCGUGUCUUCAAGGGGACUCCAAUACUAAAUCGCAAAACUACAGUGCUACUCUAUUCCUGAAUGACGAUUCAAAAGGAGGCCACCUCGUGUUCACCGGCAAAUCGGGCUCCAAAAUACGAGCCGUAGUCCCUUCCAAGUGCGGUCGUGCCGUGAUCGCAGCCAGCGAUCAGCCCCACGGCUACCUGCCGGUCUCGAAAGCAAGGGGCCGCCACUGUCGCCUCGUGCUAGGCUUCACGCACGCAGCGUCCCAGCGGGACCGGACUAGAGACGCGCUCAAGACUGCCGUGUCCGAGGCGCGACGAAGACUCCGGGAUCGGCGGCGUCCCGGCAGUCAGCCGAGCCCCUCCAGCACCGCAUUCUUCGUGCGACGACUGCACAAGCAGGCGCCGACGUCGCAGCGGUGUCGCAUUAUCAUCGUUCUGGGCGGCAUCGCACCCAUCCUGGCCUGCUACGUCUGCUUCUUCGGCUGCCAAUUUUAUAACUAUCUCUGUCCCCACCGGAAGCUGGAUUUUUCCCGCUUCUUCAAUUAUUUCGCGAAUUAAAAAUGCU